Molecule: long non-coding RNA, 252 nt
Organism: Poeciliopsis prolifica (blackstripe livebearer)
Lineage: Eukaryota; Metazoa; Chordata; Actinopteri; Cyprinodontiformes; Poeciliidae
Exons: 3
Source: RefSeq, a predicted model, not a curated record
GUUAUAAAGGAAAGCUGUGGCCUGGUCCCACCAUGGAGCUCUUGGAUUUAUUGCAGAUUGCAGAUCUGGCUGCUGAAGCUGACAAUGGUUGGGAAAGUGACAUGUCUGCUGUUUUGCUUCUGCUGCAUCUUCUGCACAAGGAUGUAGAGGCGUCUGCAUCUCAAGCAGCUCAUCAGAUUUCUACAGUGUGUAACGUACUCAGCCCUGCCUGCUCUCCCUGGGAUCCAUCCAGAGCAGAGUUCAUGCUUUCUU